AGAGCGAACGCUGGCGGCAGGCCUAACACAUGCAAGUCGAGCGCUCCGCAAGGGGAGCGGCAGACGGGAGAGUAACACGUGGGAACGUACCCUUCAGUUCGGAACAACCCAGGGAAACUUGGGCUAAUACCGAAUACGUCCGUAAGGAGAAAGAUUUAUCGCUGAAGGAUCGGCCCGCGUCUGAUUAGCUUGUUGGUGAGGUAACGGCUCACCAAGGCGACAAUCAGUAGCUGGUCUGAGAGGAUGAUCAGCCUCACUGGGACUGAGACACGGCCCAGACUCCUACGGGAGGCAGCAGUGGGGAAUAUUGGACAAUGGGCGCAAGCCUGAUCCAGCCAUGCCGCGUGAGUGAUGACGGCCUUAGGGUUGUAAAGCUCUUUCGCUCGGGACGAUAAUGACGGUACCGAGAUAAGAGCCCCGGCUAACUUCGUGCCAGCAGCCGC
This 443-nucleotide ribosomal RNA is filed under the name uncultured bacterium. Its description in RNAcentral is "SSU rRNA". It matches the Rfam family "Bacterial small subunit ribosomal RNA", at positions 26 to 518 of the family's 1533-position model. The record is from RNAcentral.